UCGAACGAAGCUUGACGGAUGAUUUCUUCGGAAUGAAACCAGAUAUGACUUAGUGGCGGACGGGUGAGUAACACGUGAGCAACCUGCCUUUCAGAGGGGGAUAACGGCUGGAAACGGUCGCUAAUACCGCAUGAUGUGUUCGGAUGGCAUCAUUUGAACAUCAAAGAUUUAUCGCUGAAAGAUGGGCUCGCGUCUGAUUAGAUAGUUGGUGGGGUAACGGCCUACCAAGUCUACGAUCAGUAGCCGGACUGCGAGGUUGAACGGCCACAUUGGGACUGAGAUACGGCCCAGACUCCUACGGGAGGCAGCAGUGGGGAAUAUUGCACAAUGGGGGAAACCCUGAUGCAGCAACGCCGCGUGAAGGAUGACGGUUUUCGGAUUGUAAACUUCUUUUCUUAGUGACGAAGACAGUGACGGUAGCUAAGGAAUAAGCAUCGGCUAACUACGUGCCAGCAGCCGCGGUAAUACGUAGGAUGCAAGCGUUAUCCGGAUUUACUGGGUGUAAAGGGAGCGCAGGCGGGACUGCAAGUUGGAUGUGAAAUACCGUGGCUUAACCACGGAACUGCAUCCAAAACUGUAGUUCUUGAGUGAAGUA
RNAcentral lists this ribosomal RNA (595 nucleotides) under uncultured bacterium. RNAcentral's name for it is "bacterial SSU rRNA". It matches the Rfam family "Bacterial small subunit ribosomal RNA", at positions 62 to 653 of the family's 1533-position model. The record is from RNAcentral.